RNAcentral lists this ribosomal RNA (495 nucleotides) under uncultured bacterium. RNAcentral describes it as "partial 16S ribosomal RNA". It matches the Rfam family "Bacterial small subunit ribosomal RNA", at positions 28 to 507 of the family's 1533-position model. The record is from RNAcentral.
GAUGAACGCUGGCGGCGUGCCUAAUACAUGCAAGCAGAACGCUGAAGGAGGAGCUUGCUCUUCUGGAUGAGUUGCGAACGGGUGAGUAACGCGUAGGUAACCUGCCUGGUAGCGGGGGAUAACUAUUGGAAACGAUAGCUAAUACCGCAUGACAACAGUUAUUGCAUGAUAACUGUUUAAAAGGGGCAACUGCUCCACUACCAGAUGGACCUGCGUUGUAUUAGCUAGUUGGUGAGGUAACGGCUCACCAAGGCGACGAUACAUAGCCGACCUGAGAGGGUGAUCGGCCACACUGGGACUGAGACACGGCCCAGACUCCUACGGGAGGCAGCAGUAGGGAAUCUUCGGCAAUGGACGGAAGUCUGACCGAGCAACGCCGCGUGAGUGAAGAAGGUUUUCGGAUCGUAAAGCUCUGUUGUAAGAGAAGAACGAGUGUGAGAGUGGAAAGUUCACACUGUGACGGUAUCUUACCGGAAAGGGACGGCUAACUACGUG